AGACUGCCCGUGAGUUCUACGAUGUAGGAGGCAGCAGUGAUUACCAAGGUUACGACGAUGAUGACUACUACUACUAUUAUGACAAAGGAGAGGAUUACGGUACAGGACAAAGUGGAUCAUUAUUCCCGGAAGAUACAGAUCGGGCUUCUUUGAGACCUCGCAGCUUUGAAUCACAUGGCUCGAAUCAGGCAGGUCCACAUCCCUUCGGGAGAGGUGUUACUGAGAACGGGAACAAUGCAGUAAUAGCCUUCCCAAGCACACCGCCCUCAGCUCUCAGACAGAGGCCUCCAAAAAGGUCUCCACCAGGAGGUGCCUUCUUCAACCCAAUCCCAGACCUUGAGGAUCCAGCUUUCGGUAUACCAGGUAAAGUAGCU
Molecule: long non-coding RNA, 374 nt
Organism: Macrobrachium nipponense
Lineage: Eukaryota; Metazoa; Arthropoda; Malacostraca; Decapoda; Palaemonidae
Exons: 4
Source: RefSeq, a predicted model, not a curated record